Molecule: ribosomal RNA, 253 nt
Filed under: uncultured bacterium
Lineage: Bacteria
Description: partial 16S ribosomal RNA
Rfam family: Bacterial small subunit ribosomal RNA
Source: RNAcentral
GACGUAGGAGGCGAGCGUUAUCCGGAUUCACUGGGCGUAAAGCGCAUGUAGGCGGUUGCACAAGUCCGUUGUUAAAGCCCCUGGCUCAACUGGGGGAGGUCAAUGGAGACUGUGCGACUUGAGGGCAAUAGAGGCACGUGGAACUCCCGGUGUAGCGGUGGAAUGCGUAGAGAUCGGGAAGAACACCAGUGGCGAAGGCGACGUGCUGGGUUGCACCUGACGCUGAGGAGCGAAAGCAUGGGGAGCGAACAGG